This 1145-nucleotide long non-coding RNA is filed under the name Zea mays. RNAcentral describes it as "long non-coding RNA (ZMAY_LNC005503)". The record is from RNAcentral. Lineage: Eukaryota; Viridiplantae; Streptophyta; Magnoliopsida; Poales; Poaceae.
GGUGGCGGGUCCGGGGGAAGUAGGGUGCAUGGGGGAUUUGUCAGCGGAGUCACCAUGGGAGAUCCUAGCGUCUGCACCGAUGAAUUCUUCACAGUCACCGUGGGUCCGCCAUGCGUCGCGGUCGGGGCUCGACACCACUCAGAUCAUGGUAGGAAGCUCUUCAUUAUGUUCCUCAUGUCCUCCCUUUCUCAUAAUGCUGUUGUAUCGAAGUUUGGGGCAUGGGGUCACUAGAUCGUCGAUCUCCAGCAAAGCUCCGUCGUUGGGAGGGUUUGCGCCACCGCAGGCGGCCGGUGGAUUGGAGAAGAUAAGCCGAUCGCCGUUGAUUCAAAACCAACGGUUGAGAUUAUACGAACCAUACCACUUCAAUCAGAUCAAUCUGAGCCCUUGGAUGGUAAACGAGCGGCUUGGAUUGCAUCGGGUCGAUGGAAUUGUGCGGGCCAUGGAUCGCCGAUCUAGCGGCCCAUAUAACCUAUCGAUUCAAUUGUUAAAAGAAAUCUAAUCUCGGCUGCAGGUAGUGAAUCCAACGGCCGGAGGCAACAGAUACCCCUUCGCUGCGGUGCAUUUGCAAAAGAACCCUCGAACUUCUAUGAAAUAAGCUCGCCGUCCAUAAUGGUUCAAAGAGUAUUACAGUCCGGUCCAUAAACUUACAUUUUUGCCCCCGUAGUUAAUAAAAAUACUAGUUGUCGUCCACGGGUUUGGGAAAUCUCAGAAAUUAAAAUCUAAAAUGAUUUUCGAUGUAAAAAUAAUUCUAGAAACCUUAGUCCUGUUGGGGGUAUGCUUCGUAGCCGAAGAUCCUAAAGGAAGGGAACACCUUCGGCAGAUCCUAUCGGAAGCAACGCCGAAGCUAUCACCUAUAAAGCUUCGACACAGUGAUAGAUCUCAAGACGAAGGAGUGAACCGACUUAAAGAUGAAAUGACUUAAAAGACCCGCGAUGUUUUGUGUCAUUAUUGUAGUCGAUUGUAAGGGGCAUAAAUGUAAUUUUACACAGGCUGCGCCCUGUGCCUAUAAAUAGAUGAACAGUACCCCUGUACUGUUCACGCAAUCUUGUAGCUGCUGACACAUUACGCUGGAGUUAUUGCUUUCUGCCAGGACGAAGGUAUAAAUGUACCUAAAUAUUAUGUUUUAAUAUUUGAAUUCAUAUAAC